CCUACGGGAGGCAGCAGUGGGGGAUAUUGCACAAUGGGGGGAACCCUGAUGCAGCGACGCCGCGUGGGUGAAGAAGCGCCUCGGCGCGUAAAGCCCUGUCAGCAGGGAAGAAAAUGACGGUAGCUGAAGAAGAAGCCCCGGCUAACAACGGGCCAGCGUCCGCGGGACUCCGAAGGGGGCAAGCGUUACCCGGAUUUACUGGGUGUAAAGGGGGCGCAGAGGGCGAUGCAAGCCAGGAGUGAAAGCCCGGGGCCCAACCCCGGGACUGCUCUUGGAACGGCGUGGCUGGCGUGCAGGAGGGCCAGGCGGCAUUCCUGGUGUAGCGGUGAAAGGCGUAGAUAUCAGGAGGAACACCGGUGGCGAAGGCGGCCUGCUGGACUGCAACUGACGUUGCGGCCCGAAAGCGUGGGGAGCAAACAGGAUUAGAUACCCCUGUAGUC
RNAcentral lists this ribosomal RNA (440 nucleotides) under uncultured bacterium. RNAcentral's name for it is "partial 16S ribosomal RNA". It matches the Rfam family "Bacterial small subunit ribosomal RNA", at positions 338 to 795 of the family's 1533-position model. The record is from RNAcentral.